This 414-nucleotide ribosomal RNA is filed under the name uncultured microorganism. Its description in RNAcentral is "bacterial SSU rRNA". It matches the Rfam family "Archaeal small subunit ribosomal RNA", at positions 459 to 872 of the family's 1478-position model. The record is from RNAcentral.
CAGCCGCCGCGGUAAUACCGGCGGCCCGAGUGGCGGUCACUAUUAUUGGGCUUAAAGCGUCCGUAGCCGGGUUGGGAAGUCCUCCGGGAAAUCUGGCCGCUUAACGGUCAGAAUGCCGGAGGAUACUCCCAGCCUAGGGAGCGGGAGAGGCCGAGGGGAUUCCCGGGGUAGGGGGGAAAUCCUAUAAUCCCGGGAGGGCCACCUGUGGCGAAGGCGCUCGGCUGGAACGCGUCCGACGGGGAGGGACGAAGGCCAGGGGAGCAAACCGGAGUAGAUACCCGGGUAGUCCUGGCUGUAAACGAUGCGGACUUUGUGUCGGACAAGCUAUGAGCUUGUCCGGUGCCGGAGGGAAACCGUUAAGUCCGCCGCCUGGGGAGUACGGCCGCAAGGCUGAAACUUAAAGGAAUUGGCGGG